This 68-nucleotide transfer RNA is filed under the name Ambulyx japonica. Its description in RNAcentral is "tRNA-His". The record is from RNAcentral. RNAcentral also lists the same sequence under 1 other name. Lineage: Eukaryota; Metazoa; Arthropoda; Insecta; Lepidoptera; Sphingidae.
AUUUAAAUAAUUUAAAAAAAAUAUUGAUUUGUGGUGUCAAAAAUAUGAUAGUUAAUUCAUUUUAAGUU